RNAcentral lists this ribosomal RNA (1022 nucleotides) under Salmonella enterica subsp. enterica serovar Brandenburg. Its description in RNAcentral is "partial 23S ribosomal RNA". It matches the Rfam family "Bacterial large subunit ribosomal RNA", at positions 711 to 1730 of the family's 2925-position model. The record is from RNAcentral. Lineage: Bacteria; Pseudomonadati; Pseudomonadota; Gammaproteobacteria; Enterobacterales; Enterobacteriaceae.
AGACCCGAAACCCGGUGAUCUAGCCAUGGGCAGGUUGAAGGUUGGGUAACACUAACUGGAGGACCGAACCGACUAAUGUUGAAAAAUUAGCGGAUGACCUGUGGCUGGGGGUGAAAGGCCAAUCAAACCGGGAGAUAGCUGGUUCUCCCCGAAAGCUAUUUAGGUAGCGCCUCGUGAAUUCAUCUCCGGGGGUAGAGCACUGUUUCGGCUAGGGGGCCAUCCCGGCUUACCAACCCGAUGCAAACUGCGAAUACCGGAGAAUGUUAUCACGGGAGACACACGGCGGGUGCUAACGUCCGUCGUGAAGAGGGAAACAACCCAGACCGCCAGCUAAGGUCCCAAAGUCAUGGUUAAGUGGGAAACGAUGUGGGAAGGCCCAGACAGCCAGGAUGUUGGCUUAGAAGCAGCCAUCAUUUAAAGAAAGCGUAAUAGCUCACUGGUCGAGUCGGCCUGCGCGGAAGAUGUAACGGGGCUAAACCAUGCACCGAAGCUGCGGCAGCGACGCUGAUGCGUUGUUGGGUAGGGGAGCGUUCUGUAAGCCUGCGAAGGUGGCCUGUGAGGGUUGCUGGAGGUAUCAGAAGUGCGAAUGCUGACAUAAGUAACGAUAAAGCGGGUGAAAAGCCCGCUCGCCGGAAGACCAAGGGUUCCUGUCCAACGUUAAUCGGGGCAGGGUGAGUCGACCCCUAAGGCGAGGCCGAAAGGCGUAGUCGAUGGGAAACGGGUUAAUAUUCCCGUACUUGGUGUUACUGCGAAGGGGGGACGGAGAAGGCUAUGUUGGCCGGGCGACGGUUGUCCCGGUUUAAGCGUGUAGGUGUGUGUUCCAGGUAAAUCCGGUUCACUUUAACACUGAGGCGUGAUGACGAGGCACUACGGUGCUGAAGCAACAAAUGCCCUGCUUCCAGGAAAAGCCUCUAAGCAUCAGGUAACAUCAAAUCGUACCCCAAACCGACACAGGUGGUCAGGUAGAGAAUACCAAGGCGCUUGAGAGAACUCGGGUGAAGGAACUAGGCAAAAUGGUGCCG